Long non-coding RNA from Pleuronectes platessa (European plaice), 1215 nucleotides. RefSeq lists it as uncharacterized. The record is from RefSeq and is a predicted model, not a curated record. Lineage: Eukaryota; Metazoa; Chordata; Actinopteri; Pleuronectiformes; Pleuronectidae. The transcript has 3 exons.
CUGUUUUGUACGCUGUUGCUUUUAAAAAUAGCCCAGUGCAUGCUUAAAUAAGCAGGCUGGCUUAAGCAGCUCAAGCACACGUUGGUCUCAAAGUUGAAAAUGAAUGAUUCUGAAAUUAUUCUCAUUCUGGUGUUUUCUGCUCGAGUAGGCCUACAGACAAAAGCACAGACAUUAAGGGGGCAUGAUGACAUACAGGUGGUUACUUUCAAGACAGUAGAAACAUAAUGUAGAAAAAACAAACAAUUGAUAGGUAUCAUUCAUAGCAUGCAUAUAGACGAAUGUCCUGUUUUUACUAUUCGUUUUUUUGGUGUGUCAGGUAUGUAGAGAGUUAUGGAAGAAGUAUGUUGUACUAGUAGGCUAUGUUAUUUUAUGAUCUUUUGCUGGCAUUGAAUUAUUUGUUAUCUCAGUGACCGGAACUAGAUAUAACAGCCUACUGUAUUAGUUAUGAUUUUGAUCUCAAUUCAACUCAAACAACAUUGUUCUUGUAGAUGGACAUCAGAAAGUUAUUCGCUCGGAGCAGGGAUAAAGCAGCAAGGAGAAAUGAGAGAGCUACGCUAGGUAACAAGGCAAUGCAAACCACUUUUAGGUAACAACCCAGUUGAGUUGACCACUGGUCACUAGCCCAAGCCUAACAGUUACAUAUCUGUCCAGACAAAGAGGAGCAGCAGAGUGCCGGAGGAGGUGACGGAGGAGUUGAAGGAAAAGGUGAAGGAGAGAGGGAUGUUGAUGAGCACGAGCAGAGACUCAGUGCAGCAGAGUGCAGAGGAGAGGAGCAGAUUGAAGGGACGCAGGUAGAGUUGGCAUUGAGAGAUGACACUGACAGACAGGAGAAUCAGAGGGCAGAAGAGAAUGAGCUGGUUGAGGCAGGGGAAAUGCAGAGAGAGAAGGAAGGACAACAGGAGACAGACAGGCCAGAGAGAUCACACCCCAGAUAUGAGACUGAGAAAACAGUUGCCACAGUGGCAGAGAACAUUAGACUGGGGGCAAGAGAAAAAAGCAGUGUCCACAAUGUUGAGGGACAUACAAGUGAUCUUGGGGGAAAGGAGUCUGGCCCAAACCAAGUUAAGUUGUCAAAAUAUCCCCAGCACAACUUUGGUGCCAAGAAUCGAUCCUUUAACGCCAACUGGUUUGAAAGCUUUACAUGGCUGGAAUAUUCCAAGUCUAAAGAUGCAGCCUUUUGUUUUCCCUGUAGAAUAUUUGGGAAACAUUUGAAGA